GCACUGGUGGUUCAGUGGUAGAAUUCUCGCCCUCCAUGCUGGAGACCUGAGUUUGAUACCCAGCCAAUGCA
RNAcentral lists this transfer RNA (71 nucleotides) under Loxodonta africana (African savanna elephant). It matches the Rfam family "tRNA". Rfam says of the family: Transfer RNA (tRNA) molecules are approximately 80 nucleotides in length. The record is from Rfam by way of RNAcentral. Lineage: Eukaryota; Metazoa; Chordata; Mammalia; Proboscidea; Elephantidae.